AAAUAAAUACUUAACUUAUUGU
Molecule: small nuclear RNA, 22 nt
Filed under: Arabidopsis thaliana (thale cress)
Lineage: Eukaryota; Viridiplantae; Streptophyta; Magnoliopsida; Brassicales; Brassicaceae
Description: snRNA_13399
Source: RNAcentral